This 301-nucleotide ribosomal RNA is filed under the name uncultured bacterium. RNAcentral describes it as "partial 16S ribosomal RNA". It matches the Rfam family "Bacterial small subunit ribosomal RNA", at positions 509 to 807 of the family's 1533-position model. The record is from RNAcentral.
CAGUAGCCGCGGUAAUACGAAGGGGGCUAGCGUUGCUCGGAAUUACUGGGCGUAAAGGGAGCGUAGGCGGAUCGUUUAGUCAGGGGUGAAAUCCCGGGGCUCAACCUCGGAACUGCCUUUGAUGCUGGCGAUCUUGAGUAUGGGAGAGGUGUGUGGAACUCCGAGUGUAGAGGUGAAAUUCGUAGAUAUUCGGAAGAACACCAGUGGCGAAGGCGACACACUGGCCCAUUACUGACGCUGAGGCUCGAAAGCGUGGGGAGCAAACAGGAUUAGAUACCCCAGUAGUCCCUGUCUCUUAUAC